Molecule: small RNA, 590 nt
Filed under: Pan troglodytes (chimpanzee)
Lineage: Eukaryota; Metazoa; Chordata; Mammalia; Primates; Hominidae
Description: retained intron
Source: RNAcentral
UGCCUGCUCCCAGCCGGCACCCAUAACCCAUUGGUGUUUUCUCUUCACAGUGAAAGAAGCCGGAAGAGAUUUUACCUAUUUAAUAGUGGUGCUUUUUGGAAUCAGCAUUACAGGUUGCAAAAAACAGCAAGUAUAAGCCCUUGAAUAUUUUUUAAGCUGGAUUUUUUAUGUUGCCCUUGCUUCACUUCAUCUUUGUUUUCUGUGAUUUCAGGUGGCUUGUUUUACACGAUUUUCAAAGAACUUUUUUCUUCAUCCAGUCCUAGCAAGAUAUAUGGGAGAGCCUUAGAAAAAUGCAGAUCACAUCCUGAGGUGAUCGGUGUCUUUGGUGAGUCUGUUAAAGGCUAUGGGGAGGUGACAAGGCGGGGUCGCCGGCAGCAUGUCAGGUUCACUGAAUAUGUAAAAGAUGGGCUGAAACACACGUGUGUGAAAUUCUACAUUGAGGGCUCUGAGCCAGGGAAGCAAGGAACGGUGUAUGCGCAAGUGAAAGAGAACCCAGGAAGUGGUGAAUAUGAUUUUCGAUAUAUAUUUGUAGAAAUUGAAUCUUAUCCUAGAAGAACUAUUAUCAUUGAAGAUAAUCGAUCCCAAGAUGA